GAUCCUGGCUCAGGAUGAACGCUGGCGGCGUGCUUAACACAUGCAAGUCGAACGGGAAACCUAUUAUUGAAGCUUCGGCAGAUUUAGUUUGUUUCUAGUGGCGGACGGGUGAGUAACGCGUGGGUAACCUGCCCUAUACAGGGGGAUAACAACCAGAAAUGGUUGCUAAUACCGCAUAAGCGCACAGGACCGCAUGGUCCGGUGUGAAAAACUCCGGUGGUAUAGGAUGGACCCGCGUUGGAUUAGCUAGUUGG
Molecule: ribosomal RNA, 254 nt
Filed under: uncultured bacterium
Lineage: Bacteria
Description: partial 16S ribosomal RNA
Rfam family: Bacterial small subunit ribosomal RNA
Source: RNAcentral